This 253-nucleotide ribosomal RNA is filed under the name uncultured bacterium. RNAcentral's name for it is "partial 16S ribosomal RNA". It matches the Rfam family "Bacterial small subunit ribosomal RNA", at positions 524 to 776 of the family's 1533-position model. The record is from RNAcentral.
UACGUAGGGUGCAAGCGUUAAUCGGAAUUACUGGGCGUAAAGCGUGCGCAGGCGGUUCUAUAAGUCAGAUGUGAAAUCCCCGGGCUCAACCUGGGAACUGCAUUUGUGACUGUAGAGCUGGAGUACGGUAGAGGGGGAUGGAAUUCCGCGUGUAGCAGUGAAAUGCGUAGAUAUGCGGAGGAACACCGAUGGCGAAGGCAAUCCCCUGGACCUGUACUGACGCUCAUGCACGAAAGCGUGGGGAGCAAACAGG